Molecule: unclassified non-coding RNA, 286 nt
Filed under: uncultured fungus
Lineage: Eukaryota; Fungi
Description: partial contains small subunit ribosomal RNA, internal transcribed spacer 1, and 5.8S ribosomal RNA
Rfam family: Eukaryotic small subunit ribosomal RNA (bases 1-73)
Source: RNAcentral
GCAAACUUGGUCAUUUAGAGGAAGUAAAAGUCGUAACAAGGUCUCCGUUGGUGAACCAGCGGAGGGAUCAUUACCGAGUUAUUCAACUCCCAAACCCAUGUGAACUUUACCAUCGUUGCUUCGGCGGUCUCGCCCCGGGCGCCACUGCGUGCCCCGGAUCCAGGCGUCCGCCGGAGGACCUUAAACUCUUGUUUUCCCAAGUGGUAUCUUCUGAGUGGUUUAUUACAAAUAAAUCAAAACUUUCAACAACGGAUCUCUUGGUUCUGGCAUCGAUGAAGAACGCAGC